This 433-nucleotide ribosomal RNA is filed under the name uncultured bacterium. Its description in RNAcentral is "partial 16S ribosomal RNA". It matches the Rfam family "Bacterial small subunit ribosomal RNA", at positions 29 to 507 of the family's 1533-position model. The record is from RNAcentral.
AACGAACGCUGGCGGCAUGCCUAACACAUGCAAGUCGAACGAGACCUUCGGGUCUAGUGGCGCACGGGUGCGUAACGCGUGGGAACCUGCCCUUAGGUUCGGAAUAACUCCCUGAAAGGGGUGCUAAUACCGGAUAAUGUCUUCGGACCAAAGAUUUAUCGCCUUUGGAUGGGCCCGCGUUGGAUUAGCUAGUUGGUAGGGUAAAAGCCUAUCAAGGCGACGAUACAUAGCUGGUCUGAGAGAAUGAUCAGCCACACUGGGAGUGAGACACGGCCCAGACUCCUACGGAAGGGAGCAGUGGGGAAUAUUGUACAAUGGGCGAAAGCCUGAACCAGCAAUGCCGGGUAAGUGAUGAAGGCCUUAGGGUUGUGAAGCUCUUUUACACGGGAUGAUAAUGACAGUACCGGGAGAAUAAGCUCCGGCUAACUCCGUG